Molecule: ribosomal RNA, 194 nt
Filed under: Kluyveromyces starmeri
Lineage: Eukaryota; Fungi; Ascomycota; Saccharomycetes; Saccharomycetales; Saccharomycetaceae
Description: Kluyveromyces sp. TMB-2019a 5.8S ribosomal RNA
Rfam family: 5.8S ribosomal RNA (bases 3-156)
About the family: 5.8S ribosomal RNA (5.8S rRNA) is a component of the large subunit of the eukaryotic ribosome.
Source: RNAcentral
AAAACUUUCAACAACGGAUCUCUUGGUUCUCGCAUCGAUGAAGAACGCAGCGAAUUGCGAUAUGUAUUGUGAAUUGCAGAUUUUCGUGAAUCAUCAAAUCUUUGAACGCACAUUGCGCCCUCUGGUAUUCCAGGGGGCAUGCCUGUUUGAGCGUCAUUUCUUUCUCAAACCUUUGGUUUGGUAUUGAGUGAUAC